CGCUGGCGGCGUGCUUAACACAUGCAAGUCGAACGGAAAGGCCCUGCUUGCAGGGUACUCGAGUGGCGAACGGGUGAGUAACACGUGGGUGAUCUGCCCUGCACUUCGGGAUAAGCCUGGGAAACUGGGUCUAAUACCGGAUAGGACCAUCGUUUAGUGUCGGUGGUGGAAAGUUUUUCGGUGCAGGAUGAGCUCGCGGCCUAUCAGCUUGUUGGUGGGGUAAUGGCCUACCAAGGCGUCGACGGGUAGCCGGCCUGAGAGGGUGGACGGCCACAUUGGGACUGAGACACGGCCCAGACUCCUACGGGAGGCAGCAGUGGGGAAUAUUGCACAAUGGGCGCAAGCCUGAUGCAGCGACGCCGCGUGGGGGAUGAAGGCCUUCGGGUUGUAAACUCCUUUCAACCAUGACGAAGCAUUAUGUGACGGUAGUGGUAGAAGAAGCACCGGCUAACUACGUGCCAGCAGCCGCGGUAAUACGUAGGGUGCGAGCGUUGUCCGGAAUUACUGGGCGUAAAGAGCUCGUAGGUGGUUUGUCGCGUCGUCUGUGAAAUUCCGGGGCUUAACUCCGGGCGUGCAGGCGAUACGGGCAUAACUUGAGUGCUGUAGGGGAGACUGGAAUUCCUGGUGUAGCGGUGAAAUGCGCAGAUAUCAGGAGGAACACCGAUGGCGAAGGCAGGUCUCUGGGCAGUAACUGACGCUGAGGAGCGAAAGCAUGGGUAGCGAACAGGAUUAGAUACCCUGGUAGUCC
RNAcentral lists this ribosomal RNA (748 nucleotides) under uncultured bacterium. RNAcentral describes it as "bacterial SSU rRNA". It matches the Rfam family "Bacterial small subunit ribosomal RNA", at positions 34 to 796 of the family's 1533-position model. The record is from RNAcentral.